Long non-coding RNA from Canis lupus familiaris (dog), 941 nucleotides. RefSeq lists it as uncharacterized. Lineage: Eukaryota; Metazoa; Chordata; Mammalia; Carnivora; Canidae. The record is from RefSeq and is a predicted model, not a curated record. The transcript has 3 exons.
GGGCCGGGUGGGGCGGGGCGGCCUGUGGUCAAGACUGGGCGAGGCCUCCCAGGACUGCGCGGGUGGAGCCUGGUUUCUGUUGUCUACAAGAGCCCACACAGGCAUCUGCUGCUGAAAAUUCCUGGUCAUAUCAUCCAAGACAUGAUGUCUGAGACAAAGGAGGUUAAAGUGCUGGCAUCUUGCCUCGUCAGACCACAUGGAAAACGUGAUAUUCAGGCCUAACGUUUGAUGAACUCAACUGUGUGCAGGCGGUGGCUGGGUGUCUGGAAACCAUCCCUCGGACUGAGGAAGAAGUCAAGCAACUGUGCAGGUGUGCAGGUUAUGGACACGAAGCACAUUCAUACUGUGCAGUCACCACCACCAUCUGUUCGCAUCAGCUUUUUCAUCUUUCACAACUGAAACUCUGUUCCUGUGAAACACUCACACCCCAUUUCCCAGAGGAGGCUGCUUUGUAGGGUGCUGCUGCUAUCAUCAACCUGUGUGUUUGUUUUUGUUAACCUGUCUUCAGGAAGAUUGAAUAAGGAAUUUAAAUGGCCCUUAUAUCAAAUACACAAUUAAUGUGUAAAAUCUGAAUGUGGAAUCCUUUUACUACUCUCUUGCCAGUAUCUUCAACUUCGUUGUCCCUCUGACCUUCUGUCACUCCCCCCCUGGAAAACCUCGGCCUGGGGGGCAGUUUGCUCCACCUCUCCUGAGCCUUGGAUUGGCAGCAAUCCAAGUCUCCCAUAAACAAGUCCCGUUCUCCCAUCCUCCAGCCUCCCAUGCAUUAUCCUCCACACCCACAGAGGACCCCAGAGAAUUUUCUAGCAGGCACCCUUUCUAUUCUCCUCCAUCAAGAUCAGGAGACUAUCAGCCUCUGCAUUCAUCUGGCCCCCAUCUUCCUAUGAAGCCGGAAUCUUCCAUCCUCCCUGUUCCCUGCACUCUGGGUCAUUAGGCACCAGCUG